ACUCAUUUCUUGUUUCCCCAUACUCCUCCCCCAAUUCUAUGCCAUUGCCAAAGAGGCAAAGACCAUCUCGAGCAGAAAAUUUCUGGUUUUCAUAUGCAAAUUCGAGUCCGAAUUCGACUGAAAGUUUAUCUUCCGUAGAGGGAAUUGAAGAAGGUUGUGUUACUUGCGUACAGAAAUUCCUUACUGCCAGGUUUUCGCCCAAGGAAAAUUUUAUGUCUAAGAGGCCAAUGUUGACUGAUGGAGGUAGCUAUUGGAACCGGGGAGAGAGGAGAAAGACCUUGAUCUUAGGUCGACUUCACCUGCCCAUAAGGUCAACCUUCUAAGGGAACUGAAGAAGGUUAUGUACGGAGAAAUUAGUUACUGCCAGGUUUUGCCUGAGAGAAAAAAUUGAUGCCGAAGAGGCCAAUGUUGACUGGUGGAUGUGGCUAUUGGAACCAGGGGGAGAGGAAAGGCCAGGAUAUUAGGACGACUUCACCUGAUGACUUUGACGAUCCCAAAUGGUCAGCCUUAUAAGAUUGCAGGAUGCAAAAUUGUUGUUCUGGCUACUCCCCCUGGAAAAUUUGGCAGCAUCUGCAAGGUUAUUACCUACCAAUCUACUCUAGUGGAUCAAUCUCUUGAUUUUGCUUGAAUCUUAGAGAUACCUCUUGAUGUAGAACAGUGAAGCGAUCAUAUCAAUAGGCAUAUCCGCUGUCCCAUCUGAAGAUCUGGUUAUUGCUGAUAAACAUCCAACCCGGUUCAUAUAGGACAGGGACGGUACUGGGGGGUGGCUUAGGGGUGCUCCAGCCACCCCCAAAUCUCUAAAAACUCAGAUUUUCAUGUACAUUUUCUGGAAAAUAAAUAAAUAGCCCGCCUAGGAAUUUCAGAUUUAACCCAAAGUAAUUGUAUUAGCCCACCUAGACUUUGGAUCCUGCUUCCGUCGCUGAUUUACUGUCUCAGGUACA
This is a long non-coding RNA of Papaver somniferum (opium poppy), 941 nucleotides long. RefSeq lists it as uncharacterized. The record is from RefSeq and is a predicted model, not a curated record. NCBI's taxonomy places the organism in Eukaryota, Viridiplantae, Streptophyta, Magnoliopsida, Ranunculales, Papaveraceae. The transcript is spliced from 4 exons.